Orcinus orca (killer whale) is the source of this 307-nucleotide long non-coding RNA. RefSeq lists it as uncharacterized. The record is from RefSeq and is a predicted model, not a curated record. Lineage: Eukaryota; Metazoa; Chordata; Mammalia; Artiodactyla; Delphinidae. The transcript is spliced from 3 exons.
GGACACGGAGGUUCUGAACAAGGCCAUUCUCACCGGAAAGGUUGUUUCGGUUCCCGUCAAGGUCGUGGCCGUUCAAGAGGACGGUUCAGUGGUGGACGUGUCGGAGGCUGUGGAAUGCAGGUCUGCGGAUGAAGACGUCGUCAAGCCGGGAAGCAAGGAGCAGAAGCCCAGCUUCGUGAUCUCUGAGCAUCUGGAUGAAGCAAAGGUCGCCUCCUGUUUCCCAAAAACCUUGCACGGAGCCCACCAAGGAGAGCGCUCGCAAUACAGUGGACGAUCCAAAAACUAUAUACCGGUGGAAGGUUGAAUG